This 657-nucleotide ribosomal RNA is filed under the name Oxalobacter sp. DI81. RNAcentral describes it as "bacterial SSU rRNA". It matches the Rfam family "Bacterial small subunit ribosomal RNA", at positions 51 to 703 of the family's 1533-position model. The record is from RNAcentral. Lineage: Bacteria; Pseudomonadati; Pseudomonadota; Betaproteobacteria; Burkholderiales; Oxalobacteraceae.
ACACAUGCAAGUCGAACGGCAGCACGGGGCAACCUGGUGGCGAGUGGCGAACGGGUGAGUAAUAUAUCGGAACGUACCCAAGAGUGGGGGAUAACGUAGCGAAAGUUACGCUAAUACCGCAUACGAUCUAAGGAUGAAAGCAGGGGAUCUUCGGACCUUGUGCUCCUGGAGCGGCCGAUAUCUGAUUAGCUAGUUGGUGAGGUAAAGGCUCACCAAGGCGACGAUCAGUAGCUGGUCUGAGAGGACGACCAGCCACACUGGAACUGAGACACGGUCCAGACUCCUACGGGAGGCAGCAGUGGGGAAUUUUGGACAAUGGGCGCAAGCCUGAUCCAGCAAUGCCGCGUGAGUGAAGAAGGCCUUCGGGUUGUAAAGCUCUUUUGUCAGGGAAGAAACGGUGGGGGUUAAUAUCCUUCGCUAAUGACGGUACCUGAAGAAUAAGCACCGGCUAACUACGUGCCAGCAGCCGCGGUAAUACGUAGGGUGCAAGCGUUAAUCGGAAUUACUGGGCGUAAAGCGUGCGCAGGCGGUUUUGUAAGUCUGUCGUGAAAUCCCCGGGCUCAACCUGGGAAUUGCGAUGGAGACUGCAAGGCUUGAAUCUGGCAGAGGGGGGUAGAAUUCCACGUGUUAGCAGUGAAAUGCGUAUAGAUUGUUGGA